Pseudophryne corroboree (corroboree frog) is the source of this 306-nucleotide long non-coding RNA. RefSeq lists it as uncharacterized. The record is from RefSeq and is a predicted model, not a curated record. The transcript has 3 exons. NCBI's taxonomy places the organism in Eukaryota, Metazoa, Chordata, Amphibia, Anura, Myobatrachidae.
AAUACACGGAUGCACUAUUGAUGUACUUCGGCCAACACCCAUAAUUUGAUGGUCUGUUGAGUUUCUACAGGAAUACACUCUCAGUGAAUUCAUGUUCUGUCUGUAUUUCCUUUGGUGAACCCAUUCUUUGAUUUGCACCCCUGAUGAAGUCCUAAGGGACGAAACGCGUUGGGUUUCAACGAUUGUGCGUUUCCGUAAAAACAGUGAACAGAUCAUACAUACUUUCUCAUGCUGAGGAAUAAGUAUUCCAUCUAAUGAUUGAAAACAUCAUAUAUAACAGAUAAUCAGAAAUGAAUGUAUUGCUCA